This is a long non-coding RNA of Anas platyrhynchos (mallard), 4001 nucleotides long. RefSeq lists it as uncharacterized. The record is from RefSeq and is a predicted model, not a curated record. Lineage: Eukaryota; Metazoa; Chordata; Aves; Anseriformes; Anatidae.
ACAAUAGCUGGCAUUACUGAAUCAUUUUCACAUCGGGUCACAAGCAGGAUUUCACAGAUGGAUCCCGUUAAUUAACAUAUAUUAGUUACCUAGAAGUAAGAGCAUCCCAUUUGUUCCUGUGUGUGGGCUCUCUAGUGGAGAAGCAAGGUCAUUCAGCACAUUGACUCUUGACACACAGUGUAUGGGGACUGAAAACCCACCGUCACAACAUCUCUGUGAGCAGGAAGGUGUAACCUCUCAUUUUCCUCUGGCUGCUGCUGGCAGCUGUUCCCUCCUAGCAAUAUGUUUCUAACCAGAUGCCUCUAGCUGCAGAGGAAUUUGCCUUUUUCUGGCCGGCUGCUGUAUUUUUGGGCUCCCCAGGCACAGCAGCAUCAGUGGGGAGCAGAAAAGGCUGGGCCCCUCCACUGUGUGGGUGAUGCCCCGUUUGGGCCAGCAUUGAAGGACAGAAUAGGCUCUGGUCUUGCUGCUAUACCUUGGAGCUCACUCACCACCCAGGGAUGCACGGCGAAACUGUUUGGACAACAGGGACGAAAGCCUUUAAUUACAUGACUACCUGCUGCUUUUUGCAGAGAGCACUUGCCUCGUUCAGUGAACAGGACAGACCUGCUUUGCAUGUGGGUCACUUUACCGUGAAGGAGGCUGCUCCCUGUGCGACCCUGCCUCAUUUAUUGCAGAGGUUAACAAACAUCCCCAGCGGACAGAAGAUGGGAGGCCUUCCUUUGCUGCACACCUCCCUGCACAGGGACAGACCUUUGCCAGCAGCCUGAAUGGUGCAAGUAAUGGGUUGUCAUCUCCUGUUUGGAUCAGCAGCAGGGAGGGACAGGACGCUUUGCCAAGCCCUUGCAAUACUGCCUUGACCUCCUGAACUGAAAAAUUCCUGGAUAAAGCCCUGUGUGCCCUGAUCUGAUCCCAUAGCCAAUCCCCCCAUCAAGUGGAGGUAAGAACAGAGGCUUCCUGAUCCCUUCCAACCUGAAUUAUCCAAUGAUCCUAUGAACUCAUCGUAUUUUUCUCCAUUACACAAAUAGUCUGCAUUCCAAUAGCCUAUUUUAUUAAUCAGUCUUUGCACCAAGUAGCUUUGAUUUAUCACAUUGUCAUAACUUCACCUCUACGGUAUAGGAUUCCUUUAGAUAAAAAAGGCAACCAAGCAUACAUCCCAUAAAACGGUAAAAUAUAGCCAGGGUUGUUAUUAUGUGGGAUGAGGUUGUUGCAAAUUCUAUAUAAAACGGGAAUUUGUGCCAGGAGCUCUUCAAAGUGCCAUGGCUGGCCUUCCAAGAAUCUGGAAAUGUCAUCACCAAGGCUAAGGAACCUUGUUUUUUUCCUCCUCUCUGCGAACAUGAUGAUAUUUGUCUGGAUCCUGGCUCUAAAUCCUCCGAGCCGUGGCAGGGUGCCGAGAGGCAGGAUGCUAGCUGUGCAACAGGAGGCUUGCUCUGGUCGGAGCAGCGCUCCCCAUUUUCCAGCAUUGGGACACACUGCCCCAGAGCUGAGGCCGCUCUGCAUCGGGGCUAUCUGCGUCAUCUUCUAACAAAGAGGCACCCCAAAGAUGCUACAUCUGCUGUUGGGGGUCAGAGAGGCACUGGUUUAGAAGCCAUGCUUUAUCGUGAGAGGUAGCAUCUCAGGAAGGAAAGGCCUGGCUCCAUAAUCUCAACUUCAGCAUUUAUUCAUGUGUAGACUCCACCAUGCAGUGGAGCAUUCCCUUCAAAGUGUGGAUGUUCCUCUCAAAAUGUUUUUAUUUUCCAAUUCAAAUCAAAAUCAAUUUUCACCAGAACACGUAAUGACCCUUCUGUUAUUUGAAAGAUAUUUUUUUCAGUGAAGUACUACCUCAGUACUACUUUUUUAUCAAAAACAUUUCUUAGCUACUAGAAAUGUAUUUUCUUUCCUUGGUUUGUCCUCAACCCUCUUGUACCCAGGAAGAGUCUCUGGAGGAUCACUGUUUCAAGGGUGGGAAAACUACCGUGUAAAAACGUGUAACUCCCAGGAAUAUACCACUUCUGAAAUUUUCAGUUCCAAACAAAAUCACAGGAUGUAGGAGUAGCCCAAAAGAGGUGUUUGGGAUGAAGAUGUUUGGUCAGCUGGAGUAAUGGCUGUCACUGCUCAUUAUGUGCAUUUCAUUGCACUGGAUGAUUUUAUUUUGUUUCUACAGGUUCUGUUUCUGCUCAUUCACAUUGCUCCUGUCUCUUCCUCUGAGGCCUUUUCCUUUCCCUCCUAGCUCUUCCAGAUGUUUUCUGUUCUUUGCUUUUAGUCAAACUUCUCAAAGCUAUAAUUUGACCUCCAUUCCCAAAGUCCCCUUGCAUUUCUCCCUGCCAACUACAGGCCUUGCCCUUUGUGGAAAGAGAGUUAGUGGUACCAGGGAAGUGCUGGAAGACCUGUCCCAUUGCAGAAGAGAUGUAGGAAGGGUAGUGAGCAACCCAUCCGGCUAAAUCACGAGUUCCCAAAAGGAAGCAUGGGGAAACUAGGUCAGGCUUCUACAGGAUAAGCAAAGAAGUACUGGAUAGCAAGAGCAUGCAGGGACAAAUGGAGAAAAGCCGAUGCAAGAAAUACAACUAACGAGAGCAUGGCAAGCCAUGAGAAAUCAUUCAGUAAGUACAUCAGUGGUAAGAGGAAGUCAAAGGAAAGUGGAUUAGUCAUCAGAGAGAGAAAGCUACUGACUGAUGCUGAGAAGGCUCCGGGUGCCUGAUGCCUUUUUAGCACCAGUCUUUACUAAAAGAUGUUGCUUGUUAUCAGGUGAUUGCCAUAGCGCACAUCAAUGACAAAGGAAAAGGAUUUCAGCCCCGACUAGGAGAGAACAAGGUGCGAAAGCAUUUGGGUAAUUUAGAGGUGCUCAAAUCAAGGGGCUGGCUGGCCUUCAGGGGAGGGAGCUGAGAGAAAUGCUCAAAGGAUGCUGGAAACGUUGAGCUCAGAGAGGACGACCAAGGAACGUGUUGAUGCAAACGAGCAAGAGUGGGGCCUCUCUUUGAAAAGACCAUUUAAAAUAAAAGUAUAUAAUAAUAAUAAUAAUAAUAAUAAACGUAGCCCAGGCAGACGUUUUCUUCCCAGAAAGGCCCUAGUAAAAACAGCCAAAUCGCCGGCAAACAGGCAGAAGGACAAAAGAGAUAAGUAACCAUUAACGUGCACUUGCCAAGAAGAAAUCAGGUCGAGCUGACCAAAUUUCCUUCGGCAACAGAAGAACUGACCCUGUUAUGGAAGAAAGGAGCAACCUUAAGUUGAGCUCUGCACCCUCAUUCAUGAAUGAAGGAGUUCGGUUUAUGCAAAAAAUGUUGGGUAGUGGGUAUAAAAUGCCCAAAACAGCAAUUCUUGAAAGUGUGGCAUGAGGAUGUGCUAGCACGUCCAGCUGGCCAGUUGUUGGGAGGAGAAAGGAGGAGACCUCCCUGGGCAGGGGUAACAGGGCUGUUUCAGCAAGGAGUGGUCGAGUAAGUGUGAGACGCAUCCCUGGGUGGGCUGUGGGUAUUGGGGUGUCAGAGUGGGGCUGAGGGAAGCCACGUGGAAGGGAUCUGGAGUCCAUGGCAGUGGGGUGGCCUUUCUGGUGUCCUGUGCAAGAACUGAAAGGAGCUGAAGGGAAGGACAGACAAGGAGUUAACGGCGUACAGUAACUGGCUUGCAGAGACUGAAUCAGGUAAAUGGAUGUCCACCACCGACUUGCUCUUCCAUUUAUAUCCAGCAACGAUGCCAACCUGCUACUAAUGCACCCGAGUAUUUUCUGCUCGCUAACCAUGUUCAUAUGUACAAGUGCGUAUUGAUCUGUUGUCUCAAAUAAAGAAAGAAAUAAAUAACUGCUCGGUAAUGCACGGGCUGCUCUCCGCAAUGCAAAUAGUCUGAGGCGCUUAGGUGCUGAAGCGAAUUGAGCUGAACACGAAAGUAACCUUCACACCUCAGAAACGACUCCGCCGCAGCUAAGGCGAGCUGCUGGCAUUUAUCUACAUUCAUUUUUUAUUUAUUUUUUAUUUUUUUUUCCCUUACGUUGCACCGCGGCCUGCUGGAGGGGGCAACCGCGGCUCUCAGCGACC